CAAAUUCAACAUGGCAGGUUCUUUCAACAAUUUCUAAUUGGAGUACUCAUCCAGGGAUUCGUCACAAGCAGGUUUCUUGCAUCGAUUGGAGGCAGUUCCCCAGGCGUCCGCAACAAUGCAU
Molecule: long non-coding RNA, 121 nt
Organism: Episyrphus balteatus (marmalade hoverfly)
Lineage: Eukaryota; Metazoa; Arthropoda; Insecta; Diptera; Syrphidae
Exons: 3
Source: RefSeq, a predicted model, not a curated record